Molecule: ribosomal RNA, 469 nt
Filed under: uncultured bacterium
Lineage: Bacteria
Description: bacterial SSU rRNA
Rfam family: Bacterial small subunit ribosomal RNA
Source: RNAcentral
ACUCCUACGGGAGGCAGCAGUGGGGAAUAUUGCACAAUGGGGGAAACCCUGAUGUAGCCAUGCCGCGUGUGUGAAGAAGGCCUUCGGGUUGUAAAGCACUUUCAGUAGGGAGGAAGGUAGUGUAGUUAACACCUGCAUUAUUUGACGUUACCUACAGAAGAAGCACCGGCUAACUCCGUGCCAGCAGCCGCGGUAAUACGGAGGGUGCGAGCGUUAAUCGGAAUUACUGGGCGUAAAGCGCAUGCAGGCGGCCUGUUAAGUCAGAUGUGAAAGCCCGGGGCUUAACCUCGGAAUUGCAUUUGAAACUGGCAGGCUAGAGUCUGUAGAGGGGUAGAAUUUCAGGUGUAGCGGUGAAAUGCGUAGAGAUCUGAAGGAAUACCAGUGGCGAAGGCGGCCCCUGGACAAAGACUGACGCUCAGAUGCGAAAGCGUGGGAGCAAACAGGAUUAGAUACCCCUGGUAGACUGUCA